Homo sapiens (human) is the source of this 213-nucleotide long non-coding RNA. RefSeq lists it as uncharacterized. Lineage: Eukaryota; Metazoa; Chordata; Mammalia; Primates; Hominidae. The record is from RefSeq and is a predicted model, not a curated record. The transcript is spliced from 3 exons.
ACAGGUGUGCGUGUGCACUCAGAAGUGAUGGGCCAGGGGAUGUCAAGCAGAAACUUCAAAAUGCACAAAGGGCUAGAAGACUCUGGUAUUUUCUAAACACAGAUGAAUCCAUGAAGACCACCUAAGGAGGAGGAUGAGUGGAGAAGCCAUGUUCAAGGCCCCAGUGUCAAGAUUCUCUAUCACUCGAUUUGUGGACACCCCACACAGCUCAAG